This 72-nucleotide transfer RNA is filed under the name Ornithorhynchus anatinus (platypus). It matches the Rfam family "tRNA". From Rfam's summary of the family: Transfer RNA (tRNA) molecules are approximately 80 nucleotides in length. Their secondary structure includes four short double-helical elements and three loops (D, anti-codon, and T loops). Further hydrogen bonds mediate the characteristic L-shaped molecular structure. tRNAs have two regions of fundamental functional importance: the anti-codon, which is responsible for specific mRNA codon recognition, and the 3' end, to which the tRNAs corresponding amino acid is attached (by aminoacyl-tRNA synthetases). tRNAs cope with the degeneracy of the genetic code in two manners: having more than one tRNA (with a specific anti-codon) for a particular amino acid; and 'wobble' base-pairing, i.e. permitting non-standard base-pairing at the 3rd anti-codon position. Lineage: Eukaryota; Metazoa; Chordata; Mammalia; Monotremata; Ornithorhynchidae. The record is from Rfam by way of RNAcentral.
AGAAGCGUGGCUCAGUGGAAAGAGCCCUGGCUUUGGAGUCAGAGGUCAUGGGUUCGAAUCCCAGCUCUGCCA